Molecule: long non-coding RNA, 655 nt
Organism: Paramormyrops kingsleyae
Lineage: Eukaryota; Metazoa; Chordata; Actinopteri; Osteoglossiformes; Mormyridae
Source: RefSeq, a predicted model, not a curated record
CCAACAUUGAAUCUGCAGUGGUUUCUUGCAGGUAUGCCGAGGCGAGGUCAUUCUUGGAGAACGCCGCCUCUCUGCUGAGUCAGGCGAUCCGGUCCACAAUCCAUGGCAAAGAGAGGAAGUGUCUGCAUUUGGCUCCCACUCGACGUCCUCUCUGACGCCCACUGAUGGACCUCUGAAUCCAGUCUGCUGGAUUGAUCAGCUUCCCGGCACUUUAUAGCGGCGUCAGGCACCGUCUGGACUGUCACUCUGCUGAGAGGCCAUCAGCACAGAUGCUAACGGGCCUGCUAUGGAAAUGUGUCCCUCCUUCAACAUGCCGGUGACUGAUAUUUAAGGAGGGCUACAGGCCAAGUCAAAGAUUUGAACGCUGGUGUCCAGAACUGCGGUGACCCUCACAGGCAGCGUGAGCUCGAGGUGAGGAUGUCGCCGCUGUCUGUCGCCGUUACUGAUUUGGUGAUGUGGCGCGUGGAGUAGACGUGUACCGACUGGUCUUUUCUGAGCUUUCUCCUCGCUCCAAUACGCAGUCAGUGAAAUGUCCAUGGCAAAUUUUCUCUGGCACACAAUGUACAAUGUCGUUUUCAAGCAUACAAAGCAACCGAAGCGACCAUCAUUUUAUAGCUAUAUCAUCAUCUUAAUAAAUUACCAUUUUAAAAAGUUA